UACGAACUGAUGAUCGUAGAUAUUUUUUGAAAGUCUCUUGAAACCUCACAAGUGUCCGACCUCUACGGAUAUCCACAUGAGGUCUCGAUCUGAUCAAAAAUUUUUUGAUCUCAUCAGGGUGCUAGCUUCUUUGCAGAGAUCGCAUCUUGACGGUUGAAAUCUCUUUAUUUUUCUUUAGACCCUCUUAGAAAAGAAGAAGAGAAUAAGAGGAUGAAGAUCUCUAC
This 224-nucleotide long non-coding RNA is filed under the name Elaeis guineensis (African oil palm). Its description in RNAcentral is "long non-coding RNA (EGUI_LNC018590)". The record is from RNAcentral. Lineage: Eukaryota; Viridiplantae; Streptophyta; Magnoliopsida; Arecales; Arecaceae.